This 3631-nucleotide long non-coding RNA is filed under the name Mytilus galloprovincialis (Mediterranean mussel). Lineage: Eukaryota; Metazoa; Mollusca; Bivalvia; Mytilida; Mytilidae. The record is from RNAcentral.
CUUUCAUUAGCUGCUUUAUUUAUCAUUUAUAUAAGUAACAAUAUUUUAUAAGCACAAGACAUACACAACACGUUUAGCUAAACAGAAUAACACCUAAUAAUGUCUUCCGAAGAAAGAAAGAAACUUUUAAAAUAAUAAAUCGCCAAUACAUUUUAAUAGGAUAGAACUUUCUUGUUUCUAUGAAUUCUUUAUUGAGUUAUAAUGUCAUGAUGUUAUUAUCGGAAUGAUACCUUUUGAACAUAAUUUAUUAUAUAAGGAAAACAUGGAGAUGAAUACACAAUAUACGAAAUAAGAAUGAUUUAAUUUCAUUUAUGUUGAUGAUAUAAGAUAGAGUAACAUACUGUGGAUGACCACAGUUAUAUUAAGUAUAUGAUGAUUCUGUGUUGUAAUCAAAGGCUUGUUAGCACUUGAGGGUAAACAUAGAUUAUAUCAGUAGAAAGUAAAAUUAAAUAUGUCAUUGUAUAAAGCAUUGGUUGUAGUUGAUUCAACUACAAUUAAGGACAAAUGAAUACAACUCCAAGUGUCAAGAUGACUUUUGGUAUUUUUAGAACAGAUUCUAGAUUCCUGCACCUUGCAAAAGUUAUGUAAUUUUCUUGACAAAUGUAACAUCAUUAUGCAUCUUGAAUAUGUGAGCAUAUAUUUCAUUGAUAAAUUUCAGGAAAUUUUCAUGGAUAGGAUGAAUAGAAUGUUAUGAUCAAUGCACUAUAUUUUUAUUAUCACAAAAGUAGUGAUAAACCCUAGAAGCCAGUUCUAAAGGGUGUUGAUGACAUUUCAGGCAAUCUUUACCCAAAAGUGAAUUUUACAGUUAAAAGAAUCGUAAUUAACCAUCUAUUUUAUUUAUUUGUUUAAUAUAUUGCUAAAACAUAUCAAUCGUUCCCCUUAUUAUCCUAGGUCGAGUAGAGAUGAAUAAAACACUGCAUAAAUCGUUAAAAGUAAGUUGCACAUGGUCUUUGAUUAAUCAAGCAAUUAUAUUGGAAGGAUUUACUUAAAAAUAGUACUUCUGAAAUAAGUUAAACUCACGCUAUUACUUUCAGUAAGAUUUUAGACAAAUAUCUUUUUUCAACGACAAACAUUAAUAGGUGCAAAUAUCUACUAAAAGGAAACUAUUGUAAUAAAGUAUUGAUAAGCAUCUAACUAAAUUUUGGCACGAAAUAGCACAAAUGUUGAAAAUGUUACUCGCUCGACUCGCUCCAAAAAGAUGCAAUGCGAGUAUAGAAAAUGUAACUCGCUUCAAAAAGAUGCAAUGCAAGUAUAGAAAUAUACGCAUUCAAAGUCUGUCAUAGUAAAUAAAAAAAAAUAGAUAUAAAAAAUCAGAAAAAAAUAUUAUGGAAUGUUUAUUCAUUGCUAUUCAGUAAAAAGGAUAUUCAUGAAUUUCGAAAAGGAAAGGUUUACUCCACGACUUUUCUAUAAAAUUCUCCCAUACUUUUGUCUAAGAACAUUUAUAUUGACAUGAAAUUAUAAAUAUCUCUUCAACAACACUUGUAAACAUUAUAUGUAUCGAGUGAGCUUCUAUCAAAUCUGCAUCAAAUACAAUGACAUUUUAUCUGCAACUCUGUGCUAAUUGAAUAUUUAAUUUUAAGGCUGAUUAAUUUGACAUCUAAAAGGUCAUAAAAUUGCUGAAAUGGUUAAAAUGCGCAGUAAACAGUAAUGUCCAUGAAAAACAUCCUGUCAGAGCAUUUUAUAGCCAUAAAAAUUUUGAUUUCGUAGUAAAAUACUUAAUGUAUGGUGUUUAUUUUGAAAGUUUUGUAGCUUUAUGGCCUUGCCUGCGUUCAAAGAUCAUAUCAUAUCUUAUUUUGGGAAAUAUUGUUCUUAAAGUUAACAUUGUUCUUAGAUGAUAAAGGUUUUAAAGCAUUGACCCGCUUUAAUGAAAACAAUGCUUCAUAAUAGUUUAUCAUUUAGUUAACAUUUUUUAUUUUAAAAAAACCUAAUAAACUAAGUAUUUGAAUGCAGUUAAUGAAACGUGAAGGAUUAAUUACUCCAACAAUUUUCUCUAAAUGCUUCAUAACAUGACAAACGGGAGAUAACUCUUCCUUCUAAAAUAAUACAAUAAAGUGGAAACAGCAAAAAAACACCGAAAUUAGAUAUCUAUAAAGUGUGUACCUGGUUUUUUUUAAAACAGAAAAAUAUUUAUUCAAGGUAAUAUCAUUACUCUUUUUUGCAGAAACAUUUUCCACAAUACCAUUCAACAACACAUUGUACAUUUUAUAAUCUUAAAACGGACAAAAAUAUAAAUAAAACACAUUGAAAUCACGGUCAUAAAUUGAAGAAGCUGCAACAAGCAGCAAAAGUAUGGCACUCAUCAUCAUGAUAUUUCCAGUGCAAAAUGUUUAUCAGACUACAAUAAAUUGUUUACAGUUGAACUUAAUUGCCUGGAACCUUUCUUUGUUGGUCAAAUAUUUAGUGUACUACAAUAACAGAGUGACCACUUCCCUUAUAACUUAAACAAAUGAACAUUACCAAAUUUAACAGUUAUAAAAUAAUCAUAUCUGGUCGUAUUUUAUUGAAAUAAAAGUGUAUCGUGUUUGUGAGUAGUUAGAUCGAUUGACGAAAAUGUAUAACUUAUUGUCAGAAGUAUUUUUCUAGCAAUUUUACAUAAUACCUAAUAUAACAUAAUGUAAACUGUUACUGUUAAUGCUAGCAAUGAUGUAUUAUUUUAUCAAGCUCCAUAUUAAAAAAAUAUUCAUUUAUAGAUACAUUUGUGUGUAAGAAAUUAUCCUACUACUCACAAAACCAAAAAUAGUCUUAAGAUGUUGAUGACAUAUCAUGCGUGUAUUUAGAAGCUAUGAUGAAUGAUAAUCAACAAUACUGUACGUUAUCUUGGCUUUUAUACAAUUAUAUCAUAUUCAGAGAACUGAAAAAUUAGAAUAUACCAUCAUAACAUAUAUUGUCGAAGCAUUUGGUGGGACAUUGUGAUAUAAAAUGUACAGAAACUUACGGAGAUAGGAAGAAAAUAAUAAUCCAAAAACAAGUAACACAUAUAUACAAUUUUACAGCCGCUAUCAAUGUGACAAUUUGAUGAUCUGAAGCAAGAUGCCAGCGAUGGAUCUCAUAACAAUGAAAGUGAUUUAGAAAACUUAAAAAGGAGUGCUAAUUAUAUUUUCUUAAUUUUGGAAUUUCUGAAAAAAUAGGAAUUUAAACAGGGUGCAGAUUAAAUGCAUUUCAUAUGCAUGGAUUGUAAGUUAUGUCAUUAACAGAAAUGAAAUGUAAGGGACGGAUAGAAAGAUGUUAUAUCACUCCAGAUUUUUACAUAAUCCAAAAUAGCACUAAACACCGUCCAUGUCUGCAAAUGAAUAUUCCUGGAGAUGUAGUAACUCUUCCUUAUAUUUGACACAGUACCAUUUAUACAUUUGACACUCAGUUAAUAUAUAAUUUAGUAUUUGUCCUACCGUGACACUGCUAAGGCACAUAACAGAAAAUAUGAAAAUCAAAAUGAAAUAUUAAAUAAUUUAUAAUUGUGAUCAAAUUUUUAAAUGUUUCAUAAAUGUCUUUGAAACUUGUUGAAGCUUUUUGAUUUGAAUACAAAAAAAGAUUUUCAAUCAAUACUUCCAAAACAAAAACCAUUCAUGUAUUCAGAAUGAAAAAAAAUAUUUUACAAAUUUGAAAAGCUUAUAACAAUAGAAACGGUUAAAAG